This 20-nucleotide small nuclear RNA is filed under the name Arabidopsis thaliana (thale cress). Its description in RNAcentral is "snRNA_11054". Lineage: Eukaryota; Viridiplantae; Streptophyta; Magnoliopsida; Brassicales; Brassicaceae. The record is from RNAcentral.
GUGGCUCCUCUUGGCCUGCU